Long non-coding RNA from Pseudoliparis swirei, 911 nucleotides. RefSeq lists it as uncharacterized. The transcript has 5 exons. Lineage: Eukaryota; Metazoa; Chordata; Actinopteri; Perciformes; Liparidae. The record is from RefSeq and is a predicted model, not a curated record.
AGCAGGGGCAGGAAGGGCAGCUUGUUGGUCCACGGUGACAGCGGGAAGGCCGCCUCGCACGCCACCGCCACCACGCCGAGACCCAGCAGGGGUGAAGAGCAGCGGGAACAGCGAGUAAUGACCUGUGGUGGUUAGAAUCAGAAAUAUCCCAGCAUCCUCUCUGCUCUCAACCGCCAGGAAGCUGCAGGAAGCGACACAGACAAAGAACACAGAAAUAGAAGAUGGACAGCAGGCUGCAGAGCAGGGUGACGGAGGGGCUGACGGAGGGGAGGACCGAGUGCUGAAACUCCUGAACCAAACCGCCCGUCAUGGAGGCUGGAGGAAGCUCCGCCUCCUCGAGCAGCUUCAGACGAACACCUGAACAGGAUACGGUCGACGAUGAGGAGGCCGAAGUUCCACAGCAGCAGAACCGCCAGGACGAAGGGCGGGCGGCUCAAAAGGUCCCGUGGGCCUUUUGGCUCCUGAACGCACCGGCAGCACCUGGAGGACAGAGAGCCAAUCAGGACGGAGCUGCCCCUUGCUGAUUGUUGACGCCGUCUACCCGCCAAAAUAAAAGCCUGAUAGAAAGGUUUAGGUAUGUGUAUGUGUGUCUGUGUGUGUAGGUACGUGUGUAUGUGUGUGUAAUGUAUAUUUGUGUGUGUGUAAGUGUGUGUAUAGGUACAUGUGUUAGUAUGUGUCUGUGUGUGUGUGCGCACGUUAUGUUUUUGUAAUAUGUAUGCGUGUGUUUGUGUGUCCCUGUGAGUCCGUAUGUGUAUCUGUCUGUACGUGUGUGUGUGUCUGUAUCUGUGUGUUUGUGUGUCUGUGUGUGUAUGUUUGUGUGUGUCUGUGUUUGUGUGUGUAGGUACGUGUGUGUAUGUGUGUAUACGUGUGUGUGUGUGUAUGUUUGUGUGUGUCUGUGUUUGUGUGUGUAG